Macaca mulatta (Rhesus monkey) is the source of this 488-nucleotide non-coding RNA. Lineage: Eukaryota; Metazoa; Chordata; Mammalia; Primates; Cercopithecidae. The record is from RefSeq and is a predicted model, not a curated record.
GUGUGAGACAUGGAGUCAAAGAAGAUUAUUCUGGAGCCUCAAAACUUAAUGUUGUUUUCCCUGUAGGGCUUUGGACUUACUUGGGUCCUAAUACCCCUUUCUUCUUGCCUGCCUCUUUCUCUCUGUCCUCUCUCAGAAUGGAAAUGUCUAUCGUAUACCUGUCCAUUCAUUGUAUCUUGGAAGUAGAUAACUUGUUUUGAUUCCACAGGCUGCCCGCAGCAGUCAAGCAAUUGGGAAUGAACCAUCCUAAAGACAACGGGCGAGUCACCCAAAGCAACCAACAGCACCCAGCAUCGCCAGCUUUGUUUGCCUGGGUCUUGCCUCUGUUUACGAUACUUGGAGAACAGCAAGUGUGGGAGAGAGGAUAAAACACAAGAUAGCUUUUACAAAAUGACUAAUAAAGAAAUAAUGGGAACCCAAUAACUACCAACUACAGAGGCAAGAGAAAUAAUAAAAAUAAUAAAGCAGAAAAUGUACAAAGCAAACAA